AAUUGUUUGGCUGACCGCCUAAGCAGCUGCCUUGAAAGCAGCCAAAAGAAGUUAAAUUCUUCUAACAAUUU
This 71-nucleotide transfer RNA is filed under the name Isotomurus maculatus. RNAcentral's name for it is "tRNA-Ser". It matches the Rfam family "tRNA". From Rfam's summary of the family: Transfer RNA (tRNA) molecules are approximately 80 nucleotides in length. Lineage: Eukaryota; Metazoa; Arthropoda; Collembola; Entomobryomorpha; Isotomidae. The record is from RNAcentral.